UACGUAGGGUGCAAGCGUUGUCCGGAAUUAUUGGGCGUAAAGGGCUCGUAGGCGGUCCAUCGCGUCGGGUGUGAAAAGCUGGGGCUUAACCCCAGUCCUGCUUCCGAUACGGGUGGACUAGAGGUAGGUAGGGGAGAACGGAAUUCCUGGUGUAGCGGUGAAAUGCGCAGAUAUCAGGAGGAACACCGGUGGCGAAGGCGGUUCUCUGGGCCUUACCUGACGCUGAGGAGCGAAAGCAUGGGGAGCAAACAGG
Molecule: ribosomal RNA, 253 nt
Filed under: uncultured bacterium
Lineage: Bacteria
Description: partial 16S ribosomal RNA
Rfam family: Bacterial small subunit ribosomal RNA
Source: RNAcentral